Molecule: non-coding RNA, 675 nt
Organism: Phascolarctos cinereus (koala)
Lineage: Eukaryota; Metazoa; Chordata; Mammalia; Diprotodontia; Phascolarctidae
Source: RefSeq, a predicted model, not a curated record
ACGGAAGGCAGAAGGUGGACUUCCGGGAAGGCCGUGGCUUCAGGGGUUGUUUUGGUGGCUGCCGUGUCCAGCCCCAUGGAGAAACGGUUUAAAACGGAUGAGAACUUCUGGACCAGCCUGCCUUUCUUCUGUAGAUGAGAGAACUGAGGCCUGUAGCGUUCAAGCGACUUGACCAGUUUCCCCGAGCCCUCUGCCUCCAUCUCAGCCCUUCACAGUCCUACUUAGAACUUUCUGGACUUUGCUCAAAUAUUAUCUUCUCCAUGAGGAAGUUUCCCUGCCAGAAAUGAGGUCUUAAGAGGUUCACAGAAUUUUACAAGUGAAAGGGACCAUUCUCCAAUCCCUUCAUUUUACAAGUGAACAGAGACCAAGAGCCUUUCCUGAAACUUCCCCAUUGCAUUUGGGUUAGUAUGUCACAUAUGUAACAAUAUUCAAGACAGCAUGUACUUUGAAAUCAGUUUAACUUUCUCUGAUAGACUGUAAAUUUGCGUCUUUUGGUUCACUUUGGAUCAAGCUUUUAAAACUGAAUAAAUACAUAGAUACGCACAUAUGUGUGGGUAUAUGUACAUAUGUAUAUAUGUGUGUAUAUGUUUAUACAUAUUUUUGGUGAAAACUGAAAAUAAAGAUCUGUUUUCAUGUUCUCUGUAAAAAAUCAUGAAAACAAUUUGAUAUAUGAAA